AGAGUUUGAUUAUGGCUCAGAACGAACGCUGGCGGCGCGCCUAACACAUGCAAGUCGAACGAGAGGCCCUUCGGGGUAGUAAAGUGGCGAACGGGUGAGUAAUACAUGGGUAACCUGCCUUUGAGAGGGGAAUAACCAGCCGAAAGGCUGGCUAAUACCCCAUACGCUUCCGGUCCCUCGGGUAAGGAAGGAAAGCCGCAUCGUGGAUGUGGCACUCGAAGAUGGGCUCAUGGCCUAUCAGCUUGUUGGUGGGGUAACGGCCUACCAAGGCAACGACGGGUAGCUGGUCUGAGAGGACGAUCAGCCACACUGGCACUGAGACACGGGCCAGACUCCUACGGGAGGCAGCAGUGAGGAAUAUUGCGCAAUGGGCGAAAGCCUGACGCACCGACGUCGCGUGGGGGAAGAAGGUUUUCGGAUUGUAAACCCCUUUUAGGAGGAAAGAUGGGGUGGGUCAAACCACCCGGACGGUACCUCCAGAAAAAGCCACGGCUAACUUCNUGCCAGCAGCCGCGGUAAUACGAAGGUGGCGAGCGUUGUUCGGAUUUACUGGGCGUAAAGAGUACUUAGGCGGUUUCGUAAGCCCCCUUGGGAAAGCUACGGGCUUAACCCGUAAAGGUCGAGGGGGACUGCGAAGCUAGAGGGCGGGAGAGGAGCGCGGAAUUCUCGGUGUAGCGGUGAAAUGCGUAGAUAUCGGGAAGAAGGCCGGUGGCGAAGGCGGCGCUCUGGAACGUUACUGACGCUGAGGUACGAAAGCGUGGGGAGCAAACAGGAUUAGAUACCCUGGUAGUCCACGCUGUAAACGAUGGGCACCAAGUGUCGGCGGGGUACCGCCGGUGCCGCAGUUAACGCAGUAAGUGCCCCGCCUGGGGAGUACGGCCGCGAGGUUGAAACUCAAAGGAAUUGACGGGGGCGC
RNAcentral lists this ribosomal RNA (916 nucleotides) under uncultured Nitrospira sp. Its description in RNAcentral is "bacterial SSU rRNA". It matches the Rfam family "Bacterial small subunit ribosomal RNA", at positions 8 to 922 of the family's 1533-position model. Lineage: Bacteria; Pseudomonadati; Nitrospirota; Nitrospiria; Nitrospirales; Nitrospiraceae. The record is from RNAcentral.